AACCCGUGUCCCCUGCAUCAGCAGGUGGAUUCUUAACCACUGUGCCACCAGGGAAGUCCGCGCACUGGCAUCUUUGACAAGAUGUUAUAUAAGUGGUGUUGAUAUUGCCACCUACCUUCCUUUUCAAACACCAGAAUUGAUAAUGGCCAUUUCCAGUACUUGGGCAAGUUCACAAUUAAGCCGAAGGUGACCGUAAAGGAAGAAGUCAGGCUGACCUGGCUUCAAAUCCUGGCUUCACCACUUUCAGGUAUGAUAGAUUAAAGAUGGCUGCAAAUUCUUUUCUACUCCUCCUCCCAUUGAGAGGCAGACUUGAUUCCCCUUCUCCUUUGACCAAGAGGGUGCAGUAGAAGUGAUGCUAGGGCAGAGAAGACUUGCAGCCCCUGCCUGGCUCUCAGAAUGUUCCUGAGACAUUCCUUCUCAGAGAGGCUGCUGUCGGUACUCUGGGGUGACAGCCCCAGCUAGCAUUUGUGCAACAAAGCUGUGUUUGCACAUCUAGCUCAGUGGAGCCUUCAGAUAACUAACUGUAGCCACAGCCAAUGCCUAAGCGCACCUGCAUUAGAGACCCCAAGUGAGACACCCUCACCUCCAGCUGAGCCUCAGAGAAUCAUAAGCAAUAUAAUAAUGUGUUGUUUUAAGCCAGUACAUAUUGGGUGAGAUAAGCACUCAGAGGUUUAGUUUCCUUCUGUAAAAUGGGCAAAAUAGCGGUAUCCACUUCCUAGAGUUAUUGUGAUAUGAAUGUAAUAAUGGUGGAAGCAUCAAACGCAGUGCUCGGCACACAGUAGGUCUUCAGUAAAUGCCAAGCUCCUGCCUGCCCCUUCUCCAGGAGGCUAUAUAUCCCAGGUAUGAGUGAAUCUUGGCCACUGCUCCAAACUUCCUGGGCAGACACCCAACUUUCCUCAAAGGGAAUGCCUAGGAUCAAAUUUGAAAGUGGGGUUGGAGAGCACUUGAUUUUUUUCUUUCUGGGACAAUCUGUGACCCCUUUAAGAAAAAUAUCACCACCUUGUGUGAGGAAAACGCCAGCAGUUUUUCUGCAGCACCCAGCCCUGCAGAGCCACAGACUGCAUGCACAGUGGGCAGACUUUGUUGAACAGAUGAACAACUGUGGCUUAAUCUGUUUUGGGAAAAGAAAAAAAGUCCUGAAGCAAUUGAUAAACAGGAGGCUGAGGUCAGCGUGAAGGAAGAGUAAAUGAGGCCAGAUUGGGGACCGCUGAAACAUGCUAAAACCCCGCCAAAGGGAAUAAAUUAACUACUAGAUGACCACAAGCAUGUAUCCCGCAGACCUACCGGAGCCUGAGGAUUAAUUAUGUGACACCACCCUGUUACCUCACCAUCAACCAAUCAGAGGAUUGUGCAUGAGCUGAUCACAUACCCUGUGACUCCCCUCCCUCACCUGGUCUUUAAAAAUUCUUUGCUGAAACCCAUCGGUGAGUUCAUGUGUUUUGAGCACUAGAUGCCCUGGACUCCUUGCUUGGUGUCCCGCAAUAAACUCUGCACUUCCCUUCAGAACAACCCAGUGUCAGUAGAUUGGUUUUACUGUGCAUGGGUGAGCAGACCCAAGUUUGGGUUUGGUAACGCCACUGCUAACAUCCCAUUGGCCAAAUCGAGUCACAAGGCCAAGUCCACUCUGCUCACAGUGAGAAGCAGAAAGGAGGAAUAUUUGUUCAACAAUAAUCCCAACUAUCACAGAUGUGAUAAUAUCUGCUGCUAUAGACUAAGUGUUGUGUACCCCCAAAUUUAUAAUUGAAACCUAAUUCCCAAUGUGAUGGUAUUUGGAGGUGAGGUCUUUGGGAGGCGAUUAGGUCAUGAGGGUGGAGCCCUCAUAAAUGGGAUUAAUGCCCUUAUUAAGGGGCACAAGAGACCCCAGAGAGCUCCCUCGUCCCUUCUGUCACGUAAGGACAUAAGGAAAAGGUAGCCAUCUAUGAUCCAGAAAGAUGGUUCAUAGCCAUCCAAAUAUGAACCAAAUCUGCCAGUGCUCUGAUGUUGGGCGGUGGAGUGAUACCCAUUUAAGUAAAUAUAAGUUCAAUUUUGAUUUUCUGACCAUGUCCUGUCCGGUUAUGAAGGUUCUGUCCCAUCCAUGAAACUGCCACUCAAUUUCUACACUCUUUUGGGGAGGCCAUUAUUCUGCUGAUCAUGUGGUCAAACCAGUGACAGGGACAGCCCAGGCUCCAGGGGAGGGGAAAUAGACUCCACUAUCUGAUGGGAGAAAUAACAAAGCUAUUGUGGCUCUUUAACCCACCACAGUAUGCAUCCACUCAUGCAGUCCUCACCACAAACCCAUGAGGUGGGGACUGAUAUUCACAUUUGAAAGUGGGAAACUUGAGAGCAAAGAUGUUGCUAACUUGGCUAAGGUGAGCCAGCUAGUCAGCGGGAGGGCUAGGGUUCCAGCCUAGGCUGUUUGACAGCGGGGCGAGAGCACCAGACACAACGUUGUGCCUGGUGCUCAGCUGAUGUUUGCUUUCUCCUUCCCUAUUGAUUCCAUUUCUUCAGCCCUUUAAGGAUAGGAAGCUGUCACCCCUUGUACCCCAUUAUGUACAGGCUUCUCUCGUACAUGCACUCACAUGCACCUAAGGGCUUGUGGUAAAGUCUCCUUAAAAAAACAGGGUGGUGGGACUCCAGUGGUUAAGAGUCCGCCUUCCAAUGCAAGGGGACGCGGGUUUGAUCCCUGGUCCAGGAACUAAGA
Long non-coding RNA from Aethalodelphis obliquidens (Pacific white-sided dolphin), 2680 nucleotides. RefSeq lists it as uncharacterized. The record is from RefSeq and is a predicted model, not a curated record. The transcript is spliced from 3 exons. Lineage: Eukaryota; Metazoa; Chordata; Mammalia; Artiodactyla; Delphinidae.